RNAcentral lists this long non-coding RNA (361 nucleotides) under Monodelphis domestica (gray short-tailed opossum). RNAcentral describes it as "lncRNA (ENSMODG00000039767.1)". Lineage: Eukaryota; Metazoa; Chordata; Mammalia; Didelphimorphia; Didelphidae. The record is from RNAcentral.
AUGCUUUUGUCUGCUUUGGAAUCCAGUGACCAAAAUUCUCUAGAAGAGCAUCCCCUAAAAGGUGACUCGUACUCAAGGAUAAAACUGAAGACACUAAGAGAAACGAUUCCAUCGAGGAGAAAGCGUCUCUCCAUGCCAUCAAACAGGCUGCCUGUCUCCCAUGUCUGGAAUGAUCCCCUUCCUUACCUCCUUUCCAGACCGGCAGGCUUUAACCAAUGAGAUCCCCACCAUCAAACUCCAGCACUUCCUUCAACGGAGAAAUGGUGAUGGUGUGAUGAUGAUGGUGGUGGUGAUGAUAGUGAUGAUGAUGACUCCAUUAAAGUUCUCCUAUUCCUCAUUGUUGUGGAGGUGACCUGGCUUC